AAUAGCUCAACCGGAAGCCUCUCUAUUAUCGGAGGAACGAAAAGAAACAGAUCAUACCAGACCUUCCAACUUGAAUGAUGCUGUUUCGGUCAAUGUCUAGACUGUGUAAAUCUUUUGCAUGGAGAAGGAUCAAAUUUCACACCAAUUCUAAGGGGAAUUCGAAGAGAAAAGAUUUAGAUGUGGAUGUUCAAUACAAAAUAGUUAAUGAAGGGAAGGCAGAUGUCCUCCUACCCGCUGGUGUGUUCUACAAUCCAGUUCAGGAAUUCAACAGAGAUCUCACUCUAGCCAUUAUAUCAAUUUUUGCACAAAUACGUCGACAAGAGAUAAAGAAUGAUUUGCUGAAGGACAAAAAAAACAAAUAUAACAAGAAAGUGCCAGUUUCAAGUGGAGAGGUAAAUAUUAAUGAUGUUGAAAAACCACAGAAGAAGAUAUGUGUUGAUGAUAUAGAAGCUGGUAAGAAGUGUGCAGAUGGAAUAUCAAUCUUAGAUAGCCUAGCAGCAUCUGGGCUUCGGUCCAUCAGGUAUGGGCUAGAGAUUCCAGGUGUUAAGAAAAUUGUCGCUAAUGAUUUUGAUAAAACUGCUGUAGAAGCGAUACAGAAAAACAUUGAGAGGAAUAAACUAGAUCACCUCGUCACCUCCAGCUUUGGAGAUGCUUCUAUGGUAAUGUACAUGAGUAAAGGAACAGAUGCUGCAUUUGAUGUGAUUGACCUUGACCCUUAUGGAGGUGCCUCCCAGUUUCUGGAUGCUGCCGUGCAGUCUGUCAGUGAAGGCGGUUUGUUGUGUGUGACAUGUACAGACAUGGCGCUAUUGUGUGGUCGCACACCAGAAAGUUGCCGUGCAAGAUAUGGUACCAUGUCCUACAGGUCGUCAUACUGUAAGGAAAUGGCACUUCGCAUCCUUUUGCAAAGUAUGGAAACAACUGCUAAUAGGUAUUCACGGUAUAUCAUACCCAUGAUAUCAAUCAGUGCAGACUUCUACAUUAGAGUGUUUGUGAGAGUUUUCACAGGUGCCGCAAAUGUUAGGCUUUCAUCUCUCAAGUUGGCCAAUAUGUAUCACUGCUCAGGAUGUGGAGCUUUUACAGUUCAGAGACUGGCCCGGAAAUUACCUACAAAAGGUAAUGAACUCCAACUUUCUACAGCACACGGACCUCCUGUGACAGAUUUAUGUGAACAUUGUGAGCACAAACAUUAUGUCGCUGGUCCAGUGUGGGCGGAUCGUCUUCAUGACACAGACUUUGUAAAAAGAGUGAUCAAAUAUGUUCAGGGGAAACAAGCUGACUUCCAGACACGUAAGAGAAUAAUUGGCAUGUUAAGUCUUGUCAGUGAGGAACUCCAAGACUGUCCCAUGUACUAUGUUAUUAAUGAUGUAUGCAAGAAGGCCCAUGUCUCGCAAGUAAAGUCGGAGCUGUUCAGGUCUGCUUUAUUGAAUGCUGGCUUUGAAGUGUCCAUGUCUCAUGCUGAACAGAAUUCUAUCAAGACCAAUGCUUCAAACACAGACAUCUGGGAUAUUGUACGAUCAUGGGAGAGAAUGAAUCCGGUACACGAGAAGCGUCGUGUACCUGGUUCAGUCACAGCCAAUAUCCUGUCCAAGAAACCAGUCCUUAAAGUGUCAUUUAAACGCCACCAGAUGGCCACACAGGAGUCAAAGAAAAAGAACCUGUUACGAUACCAACAAAAUCCAGCCAAGUAUUGGGGUCCUAUGAGUAAACCAAAGGCAAAUAGGUCUGCUGAACCCAUGCUGGACAGGACGAUAUAUCUCCAAGGGAAGAGGAUGAAGAAUCGUGAAGAUGGUGAGGAAGAUGCCAAGAUGCAGGAAUGAUACAAUCAUGCUCCCUGGAAAGUGAAGGGUUUACUACAAUGAAAUCUCCCAGGAUAGACUAUUGCUGAGUGUGACUAGUGAAGGGUUUACUACAAUGAAAUCUCCAUGGAUAGACUUUACUACAAUCUCCCAGGAUAGACUAUUGCUGAGUGUGACUAGUGAAGGGUUUACUACAAUGAAAUCUCCAUGGAUAGACUUUACUACAAUCUCCCAGGAUAGACUAUUGCUGAGUGUGACUAGUGAAAGGUUUACUACAAUCUCCCAGGAUAGACUAUUGCUGAGUGUGACUAGUGAAGGGUUUACUACUAUGAAAUCUCCCAGGGUAGACUUUACUACAAUCUCCCAGGAUAGACUAUUGCUGAGUGUGACAAGUGAAGGGUUUACUACAAUGAAAUCUCCUUAGCUAGACUUUACUACAAGCUCCCAGGAUAGACUAUUGCUGAGUGUGACUAGUGAAGGGUUUACUACAAUGAAAUCUCCAUGGAUAGACUUUACUACAAUCUCCAAGGAUAGAUUAUUGCUGAUUGUGACAAGUGAAGAGCUCACUACAAUGAAAUCUCCCUGGAUAGACUUUACUACAAUCUCCCAGGAUAGACUAUUGCUGAGUGUGACUAGUGAAGGGUUUACUACAAUGAAAUCUCCCUGGAUAGACUUUACUACGAUCUCCCAGGAUAGACUAUUGCUGAGUGCGACUAGUGAAGGGUUUACUACAAUGAAAUCUCCCAGGAUAGACUUUACUACAACCUCCCAGGAUAGAUUAUUGCUGAGUGUGACAAGUGAAGGGUUUACUUCAAUGAAAUCUCCCUGGAUAGACUUUACUACGAUCUCCCAGGAUAGACUAUUGCUGAGUGUGACAAGUGAAGGGUUUACUAUAAUGAAAUUUCCCUGGAUAGACUUUACUACAAUCUCCCUGGAUAGACUAUUGCUGAGUGUGACAAGUGAAGGGUUUACUACAAUGAAAUCUCCCUGGAUAGACUUUAAUACAAUCUCCCAGGAUAGACUUGCUGAGUGUGACAAAUAAGGGUUUACUACAAUGAAAUCUCCCCAGAUAGACUUUACUAUGAUCACCCUGGAUAGACUAUUGCUGGGUGUGACUAGUAAAGGGUUUACUACAAUGAAAUCUCCCUGGAUAGACUAUUGCUGCGUGUGACAAAGUGAAGGGUUUACUACAAUAAAAUCUCCCUUGAUAGACUAUUGUUGAGUGUGACUUGUGAGGAAUUUGUGAUAACAACAGUAAAAGCAUAUGAGUGGUACUGAUCUAGGGGUUUUAUUGUAGUGUGUAUGUUCACUAUUUCAUUUGCUUGUGAGAAGGCAGUGGCCUGGAGGGGAGGGAUGAUGAGCAAAACUGGUGCCCGUUUUAGGAGAGUUAUCUCCCUUCUGAUUAAUGCCAGGACUCCAGACUUUGUGUGUCAAACAGAGGUAACAAACGUGGGAGUAGCAUACCAUAACAAAGUCACAUUGAGGUCACUGUUUUUGAAAGCAGGAAUCGUAAACUUUGUGUUGGACAUCAUUUUAAGGAGGUAUGCCAUAAGUAGGUCACUGUGACCUACUUUUUACGGGCUUGCCUUCGAGGUGUCAACAUAUGGUAUGGCCUAGGCCUUCAUCUACAUGAACAGUAUUUGCAUUGUGUGUGAUAACUUUCCCAGAUAUCAUUGAAUUGCCUUGAUAUAUAAAGAUUAAAGUCAAGUUCUAUCGGUUCAUGCCAUU
This 3524-nucleotide unclassified non-coding RNA is filed under the name Mizuhopecten yessoensis (Yesso scallop). RNAcentral describes it as "tRNA (guanine(26)-N(2))-dimethyltransferase-like, transcript variant X1". Lineage: Eukaryota; Metazoa; Mollusca; Bivalvia; Pectinida; Pectinidae. The record is from RNAcentral.